UGAGAUGUUAGUAAAACAAUUGCGUAGUCUUGUCAAGACUAAAUUACAGGUGAAACCCUGUACACCUCAC
This 70-nucleotide transfer RNA is filed under the name Astur gentilis (Northern goshawk). RNAcentral describes it as "Accipiter gentilis (Northern goshawk) tRNA-Asp". Lineage: Eukaryota; Metazoa; Chordata; Aves; Accipitriformes; Accipitridae. The record is from RNAcentral.